Molecule: ribosomal RNA, 775 nt
Filed under: uncultured Neocallimastigales
Lineage: Eukaryota; Fungi; Neocallimastigomycota; Neocallimastigomycetes; Neocallimastigales
Description: partial large subunit ribosomal RNA
Rfam family: Eukaryotic large subunit ribosomal RNA
Source: RNAcentral
ACACUGACGUCGCGACGCAUAUCAAUAAGCGGAGGAAAAGAAACUAACAAGGAUUCCCUUAGUAACGGCGAGUGAAGCGGGAAGAGCUCAAAUUUGAAAUCUUCAAGGUUCUACCUUGACGAAUUGUAGUUUAAAGAAGUGUUUUCUGUUGAAGUUUUGGUAAAAGUUCUUUGGAAUAGGACAUCAUAGAGGGUGAGAAUCCCGUAUUUGACCAUUAUUUCCAGCUUUGUGAUACACUUUCAAAGAGUCGGAUUGUUUGGGAAUGCAGUCCAAAAUGGGUGGUAAAUUUCAUCUAAAGCUAAAUAUUGGCGAGAGACCGAUAGCGAACAAGUACCGUGAGGGAAAGAUGAAAAGAACUUUGAAAAGAGAGUUAAACAGUACGUGAAAUUGUCAAAAGGGAAGCGUUUGACACCAGUGUUGUUUUCUCGAAAAUCAAUUAAAAAAGACUGGAUUUUGUGUUGUAUUGACUUUAUCAGCUUUCUGCACUCUUUUCUUGUCUUUUUUAAUGCACUUUUCGUUUAACAAGUCAACAUCAAUUUCUUUUGUUGUAAAAGGGUCAUUGGAAGGUGGCUUUCUUUUCGGAGAAAGUGUUUAUAGCCUUUGGCCUCUGCAAUCGGAGAGAUUGAGGUCUGCAGCGUAGAUCCUUCGGGGUUAGAUACGUAGAUGCUAAGUUAUAGUUUUUUAUAGACAACUUGUUGACUAUAAUUAAUCAUGUAGCUUACUCGUUUGCGCUAUUUUACCUACGCUUAGGAUGUUGAAGUCGUAGAGCACGCAG